This 253-nucleotide ribosomal RNA is filed under the name uncultured bacterium. RNAcentral describes it as "partial 16S ribosomal RNA". It matches the Rfam family "Bacterial small subunit ribosomal RNA", at positions 524 to 776 of the family's 1533-position model. The record is from RNAcentral.
UACGUAGGUGGCAAGCGUUGUCCGGAAUUACUGGGAGUAAAGGGCGUGUAGGCGGGACUGCAAGUCAGAUGUGGAAUUCCCAGGCUCAACUUGGGGGCUGCAUCUGAAACUGUGGUUCUUGAGUGCUGGAGAGGAAAGCGGAAUUCCUAGUGUAGCGGUGAAAUGCGUAGAUAUUAGGAGGAACACCAGUGGCGAAGGCGGCUUUCUGGACAGUAACUGACGCUGAGGCGCGAAAGCGUGGGGAGCAAACAGG